GUGUUAUAUUAUCAACAAGCGUUCGUUUACAUGCGACAGGGUUUGUAAAAAAGAAAUACAUAGACCAAUCUCUUGGCCUACAAGAGGUUCACAGGUUUGUGAAAGAAGGGGUCAGAAAGGUGUGCACUAAGUGUCACCCAGUCAAUGAACGACCAGCACAACCUUUCCUCGAAGUGGUAUUCGAUAAUGAUCCUUCCGCAGGUUCACCUACGGAAA
Molecule: unclassified non-coding RNA, 216 nt
Filed under: uncultured fungus
Lineage: Eukaryota; Fungi
Description: sequence contains ITS1, 5.8S rRNA gene
Source: RNAcentral